GACGUUUACUUUGAAAAAAUUAGAGUGUUCAAAGCAGGCCUUUGCUCGAAUACAUUAGCAUGGAAUAAUAGAAUAGGACGUGUGGUUCUAUUUUGUUGGUUUCUAGGACCGCCGUAAUGAUUAAUAGGGAUAGUCGGGGGCAUCAGUAUUCAAUCGUCAGAGGUGAAAUUCUUGGAUUGAUUGAAGACUAACUACUGCGAAAGCAUUUGCCAAGGAUGUUUUCAUUAAUCAGUGAACGAAAGUUAGGGGAUCGAAGACGAUCAGAUACCGUCGUAGUCUUAACCAUAAACUAUG
RNAcentral lists this ribosomal RNA (294 nucleotides) under uncultured Thalassiosira. Its description in RNAcentral is "partial Eukaryotic small subunit ribosomal RNA". It matches the Rfam family "Eukaryotic small subunit ribosomal RNA", at positions 747 to 1041 of the family's 1831-position model. Lineage: Eukaryota; Bacillariophyta; Thalassiosirophyceae; Thalassiosirales; Thalassiosiraceae. The record is from RNAcentral.